This 497-nucleotide ribosomal RNA is filed under the name uncultured bacterium. RNAcentral describes it as "partial 16S ribosomal RNA". It matches the Rfam family "Bacterial small subunit ribosomal RNA", at positions 28 to 507 of the family's 1533-position model. The record is from RNAcentral.
GAUGAACGCUGGCGGCGUGCCUAAUACAUGCAAGUCGAGCGAACGGACGAUAAUCUUGUUUCUCUGAUGUUAGCGGCGGACGGGUGAGUAACACGUGUAUAACCUACCUAUAAUUCUGGGAUAAUCUCGGGAAACCGUAUCUUAUACCGGAUGAUAUUUUGAACCGUAUGGUUCAAAGGUGAAAGACGGUGUUUCUGUCACGUAUAGAUGGAUCCGCGCUUCAUUAGCUAGUUGGGAAGGUAACGGCCUACCAAGGCUACGAUGCAUAGGCGACGUGAGAGGGUGAUCGGCCACACUGGAAGUGAAACACGGACAAGACUCCUAAGGGAGGCACCAGUAGGGAACCUUCCGCAAUGGUCGAAAGCAUGACGGAGCAACGCCGCGUCAGUGAUGACGGUCUUCGGAUCGUAAAACUCUGUUAUUAGGGAAGAACAUAUGUGUAAGUAAAUGUGCACAUAUUGACGGUACCUAAUCAAAAAGCCACGGCUAACUACGUG